GUCUGCCUAGUCUAGUGGUAAUGACACUCUCCGGGUAUCCAAUACGACUGACUAUCAGUCUAUUAGUCGUGGACCGAGAGAGUAACCUGGGUUCGAUUCCCAGGGCAGGCA
Molecule: non-coding RNA, 111 nt
Organism: Hyaloscypha variabilis F
Lineage: Eukaryota; Fungi; Ascomycota; Leotiomycetes; Helotiales; Hyaloscyphaceae
Source: the annotation of a GenBank genome assembly